CUCCGUACAAGGUAAACCCAUUGCGAGAUGGGGGCACAAAGCCGACGGGUCCCUCCGGGACGGCCGGGCUGCCGGA
Molecule: non-coding RNA, 76 nt
Organism: Nitrospirae bacterium GWC2_57_9
Lineage: Bacteria; Pseudomonadati; Nitrospirota
Source: Rfam